This 442-nucleotide ribosomal RNA is filed under the name uncultured bacterium. RNAcentral's name for it is "bacterial SSU rRNA". It matches the Rfam family "Bacterial small subunit ribosomal RNA", at positions 958 to 1398 of the family's 1533-position model. The record is from RNAcentral.
AACGCGAAGAACCUUACCUGGGCUCGAAAUGGAGUGGACCGGAGCAGAAACGUUCCUUCCCCGCAAGGGGCCGCUUUAUAGGUGCUGCAUGGCUGUCGUCAGCUCGUGUCGUGAGAUGUUGGGUUAAGUCCCGCAACGAGCGCAACCCUUAUCCCUAGUUGCCAUCGGGUCAAGCCGGGCACUCUAGUGAAACUGCCUCGGAUAACGAGGAGGAAGGUGGGGAUGACGUCAAGUCCUCAUGGCCUUUAUGUCCAGGGCUACACACGUGCUACAAUGGUCGGUACAAACCGUCGCAAACCCGUGAGGGGGAGCUAAUCGGAAAAAGCCGGCCUCAGUUCGGAUUGGAGUCUGCAACUCGACUCCAUGAAGCUGGAAUCGCUAGUAAUCGCGGAUCAGAACGCCGCGGUGAAUACGUUCCCGGGCCUUGUACACACGAGACGAC